GACGAACGCUGGCGGCGUGCUUAACACAUGCAAGUCGAACGGAAAGGCCUGUCCUUCCUUGUGUUGGACGGGUACUCGAGUGGCGAACGGGUGAGUAACACGUGAGUGAUCUGCCCCCAACUUGGGUAUAAGCCUGGGAAACUGGGUCUAAUUCCCGAUAGGACUGCAGGGUGGUGCCUGUGGUGGAAAACGAUUUUCUAGUGGUUGGGGAUGAGCUCGCGGCCUAUCAGCUUGUUGGUGGGGUAAUGGCCUACCAAGGCGGCGACGGGUAGCCGGCCUGAGAGGGUGGACGGCCACAUUGGGACUGAGAUACGGCCCAGACUCCUACGGGAGGCAGAAGUGGGGAAUAUUGCACAAUGGGCGGAAGCCUGAUGCAGCGACGCCGCGUGGGGGAUGACGGCCUUCGGGUUGUAAACUCCUUUCGACCGCGAGGAAGCCGCCUGGUUGGAAGGGUGGUGACGGUAGUGGUAGAAGAAGCACUGGCUAACUACGUG
RNAcentral lists this ribosomal RNA (494 nucleotides) under uncultured bacterium. RNAcentral describes it as "partial 16S ribosomal RNA". It matches the Rfam family "Bacterial small subunit ribosomal RNA", at positions 28 to 507 of the family's 1533-position model. The record is from RNAcentral.